GUGAAGCUAUGCUAACGAGUUACCGGUCAUCUUGUUAGAAUUGUUGUGCAAUGUAUAAAUAGGGUUUUCGUUGUACUUUAAAGUUGUGUGUUAAUUGUACAACGUUUCAGAAUUGAAGUCCGAUAAUCCAUAUAAUUGACAAUCUUACUCUAAGACGCGUCUCCUUAAAAAAUCAAACAUUCAGAUUUCAUUUUUUUUUAGGCAAGAAUACGCGAAGAUGUUUUUUUUUCCAAUCCCAAAAUUAUGCACCACUAUAAAUUGAUAGUCACUUUAUUGUUCCCGUACCUCUCAAUCCUAUGGAAAGCAACUUGUUACACUUUAAACCAAUACAACAUGUAGUAGCUUGUAAGUGUUUUACUAAAUAAUUUUUUUGUUCAUAAAAAACCCAGUCACUUGUACAGUUACCAAUAUGACUAGAAAAGAAUUUAAUUUCUUUUUAAUUUUCAAAAAGAUGUAGAAGAAUACCUAUUGUUAAUGCUUCAAGAUAAUGCUUCUCAAUAAAAGUCAUAAGAAAACCUUUCUUUUUAAGAGAAAGUGGUGAAAUUUUGUCUUCCAAAACCAAUGUCAUCAGUCUUCAAGUUAAGACACUUGUUGAUAAUACUCAUAAGAGAGUAGAGUACCAAUAAAGGUUUUUAAAGUGAUACGUCGCGGAACUUAAUUUGCCUCUUGAACUUUUAAAGAUAAAAGCAUACUUUUGAAAAUGUCGAAACCUAGUUUAAUUUCAAUACGGGAGUGUCAGCCAAAUAGGAAGACCGUCAAUUAUCGAACGUUAAUUUGUAGAAUCUCAGCGGAAAUAAUCACGAUAAGAAAAAUCGUUUUUUAAAAAAAAGACCCAGCAAACGCCUGGAUUCAGCUUCAAAUUAAAAUAAACUCAAAUAAUUUAAGGACGGAUCUCUAGGCAAUAACGCAACCGAUUUGUCUUUUUCCAUGUUAUUCUUGGAUAUAAAGUUUCAAGAAGAUUGAUAAAGUCAAAAAAAUGUGCGACAUGUUACAGAGGUUUACAUAAAAAAACUUUUACUCUAGAUGAGAAGAAUGUGUCCUUUUAUAUAAACGAGUCAAGGACCUAUUGAAAAAGGGAGUGAUUCAUUGGUAUGAGUAAAACAUUCUUCGUAAUUUAAGUUUGGCGUCAUGGUGUAUUGUAUUACUGAAAAGAACGUUUAAUGAUAAUUUUUUCGUUUUACAAGACCUUUUUUAGUGAGCAUUAAAAGAAUUUAAAAUGUCCUUCUGGAAACCUCUGUCGCUAAGAAACUUACAUGUGGUCACGCUGUUUACAUAUUUCUUAUUUUUUUAUGAUAAAUUGUCAGAAAAAUAAAGGGAACAUCUUUUAAAUGGAUUCUUAAAGACACAAUAGAAAUUCCGUUUUAGCAGAAGGGAAAACGGAAAAUAGCUUUAAGGUUUUUCAAGUGAUGCAUAAACCUAGAUAAAAGUUAAAAAGUGUUUCCACUCAGCGUCAUGUUGUUUAAAAAUUGUUUCGACCCUUGACAGUUGUGUUUCGCGAGGAUUCUACACAAUUUGAAAGCAUCCUAUUUUGCAAAAAAAUAAAAUAACAAUAUUUUUCUAAAAAAAACUAAGAAAAAAAACUAAGGCAGUGAUAUUUUCGGCAUUUUUCUUAACGAGCAAAAACAACAUAAUGAAUUGCAAUAAACACAUUUGAAAAUGGGUAAACCAUGACCAAAAUGGUGUAGUAUAUAACCGAAAAAAAAAAACUAGUGACUAACAAUCAUUACACGUAAACGAUUAAAAAAGCUUGAGCAUCAAAAAAUUUUUUAAAAAUUAUGUAAGGAAUAAGGUUGUCUAUAAAGCGAAAACGAUAAGGUUGUUUGAAGAGAUACUAAGGGAUGCGUUCGUUUUCGCGUUUCCUUAAUCUUGAAAAAUGAAUUUUUUUUUUAUUAAUGAAUUCCAGUGCUGAUUUAAAAAUGAAGAAAUUGUGCACACUCCCAAGAAAAAAAUCGACUUUCCGAAUGUGUGGUUCAAAAGAAGAAGAAAAUCACGCAUAGAAUCUUUUACCUAAAAGUCACGUCAAGGCAACAUCUAAAUAAAAAGGAUGUUUUAUUGCAGCUUCAGGUCGAAUAUAGUUAUCGCGCUUCUCAAGAACUAUUUCCUGUAAUUCCGUUCUCAUACAAACCCUUUCAGAUAUAACUGUCAUUAUGACAAUAGAACAUAAAAUGAC
Hylaeus volcanicus is the source of this 2170-nucleotide long non-coding RNA. RefSeq lists it as uncharacterized. NCBI's taxonomy places the organism in Eukaryota, Metazoa, Arthropoda, Insecta, Hymenoptera, Colletidae. The record is from RefSeq and is a predicted model, not a curated record. The transcript is spliced from 3 exons.